CCUACGGGAGGCAGCAGUAGGGAAUCUUCCACAAUGGACGAAAGCCUGAUGGAGCAACGCCGCGUGAGUGAAGAAGGUUUUCGGCUCGUAAAGCUCUGUUGGUAGUGAAGAAAGAUAGAGGUAGUAACUGGCCUUUAUUUGACGGUACUUACUUAGAAAGUCACGGCUAACUACGUGCCAGCAGCCGCGGUAAUACGUAGGUGGCAAGCGUUGUCCGGAUUUAUUGGGCGUAAAGCGAGUGCAGGCGGUUCGAUAAGUCUGAUGUGAAAGCCUUCGGCUCAACCGGGGAAUUGCAUCAGAAACUGUUGAACUGGAGUGCAGAAGAGGAGAGUGGAACUCCAUGUGUAGCGGUGGAAUGCGUAGAUAUAUGGAAGAACACCAGUGGCGAAGGCGACUCUCUGGUCUGCAACUGACGCUGAGGCGCGAAAGCAUGGGUAGCGAACAGGAUUAGAUACCCUAGUAGUC
RNAcentral lists this ribosomal RNA (465 nucleotides) under uncultured bacterium. RNAcentral's name for it is "partial 16S ribosomal RNA". It matches the Rfam family "Bacterial small subunit ribosomal RNA", at positions 338 to 795 of the family's 1533-position model. The record is from RNAcentral.